Molecule: ribosomal RNA, 409 nt
Filed under: Notacanthus abbotti
Lineage: Eukaryota; Metazoa; Chordata; Actinopteri; Notacanthiformes; Notacanthidae
Description: partial 16S ribosomal RNA
Rfam family: Bacterial large subunit ribosomal RNA
Source: RNAcentral
UAAUCACUUGUCUUUUAAAUGAAGACCCGUAUGAAUGGCAUCACGAGGGCUCAGCUGUCUCCUCUCUUCGGUCAAUGAAAUUGAUCUGCCCGUGCAGAAGCGGACAUACACACAUUAGACGAGAAGACCCUAUGGAGCUUAAGACAAAAAGCCAAACACGUUAAACGACUUAUCCCCCUUCUGGAGUAAAAAGUACUCAAACUCUGUGAUAUCUGGCUAGAAUGUCUUCGGUUGGGGCGACCUCGGAGGAAAACCAAGCCUCCGCGUGGAAUGGGGUUUAUAAUUAACCCUAGAACUAAGAAGCACAAAUCUAAGUAACAAAAAAUUUGACCAAUAAUGACCCGGAACAAAUCCGAUCAACGAACCAAGUUACCCUAGGGAUAACAGCGCAAUCCCUUCCCAGAGUCCA